UCCAGGAUUUCUGCUUCGUUCCUCACCACCAUGGCUCCCAGUCGCCCAAGGCUUAUGUGUUCUGGAGCAUCCUGGGGCCUGGAGGUUGAGGCAGGACCUGGCAGCCACGCCCUUGCUCCUACCUACCGGGCAGGCGCUGUCUUUGACUAAGAACGUCUAUCAUCCUGGACACUUCGCACAUUCACCUCAUUCUGCUGGGACCGCGCCCGCUGGCUCCUCACCCGCUGGGUCUCACGGUAAGAAACCCAUUGCCCUGCCACCUCCUGGAAGUCCUGGAUCCCUGGGAACAUGGCCACCCCCGGGGGAGACUGCCACACAGCCGCCGCCCUGGUUCUCUGAGCUCCAGUCAAGAACAUUGACUGGUGGAACUGCUCCUGACUCACUUUGCCACGUAACAUUGUGAGGCCUCAGUGGCCUGCACCUGUGUCCUAUCCUCAACAGUAGCCCUCCUACUGAGUGUCAGCCCUGGCCCUCCAGAGCACACAGACAAGAAGGUAGAGCAGGUUCCUGUGGCCAUGUCCUGUCCUGCUGAGAGAAAAGGGGGAACUUGGACUCCGCUAGGAUCUCGAAGACCCAUAAGGUGACAACACAAGGAUCGCCACCCGAUACCCAGCAUCUCCAUCUUAUUGCACCAAAUUGUCAGAGGCCUCAGAUUUCAUAGAACUGGGCUUUCAAGGAACCCAGCCACCAUAAUCUGAGGAAGCCCAAGGAACUGCAUGUACUGGUUCCAGCUGACAGCCCCAGUUGACAGUCAGAACCAACUGCUACAGACAGAAAGUAUAGAACGGAAUGAAGGUCAUUCUGAUGGUUUGCCUCUACAUCUGGGAGGAUAACGAUCCCAUCAACUGAAGGGGGUCCGUAGAGGAAGAACAGAACCUGCGUUUGAGGAACCUAUGGGGCAUUCACAAGGAGAGGUCAAGCAGACAGGAUAUAAACAUCUGGAGCUCAGGUGACAAAUCUAAGCAAAAGAUAGAAAUUGUUGAGUAACUGACUCGGGCAAAUUUCCCUGCAGGCCAGAACCAC
Molecule: long non-coding RNA, 1023 nt
Organism: Myotis davidii
Lineage: Eukaryota; Metazoa; Chordata; Mammalia; Chiroptera; Vespertilionidae
Exons: 3
Source: RefSeq, a predicted model, not a curated record